RNAcentral lists this unclassified non-coding RNA (329 nucleotides) under soil metagenome. Its description in RNAcentral is "partial contains 5.8S ribosomal RNA, internal transcribed spacer 2, and large subunit ribosomal RNA". The stretch from base 1 to 120 matches the Rfam family "5.8S ribosomal RNA", at positions 35 to 154 of the family's 154-position model. The record is from RNAcentral.
GAUGAAGAACGCAGCGAAAUGCGAUAAGUAGUGUGAAUUGCAGAAUUCAGUGAAUCAUCGAAUCUUUGAACGCACAUUGCGCCCCUUGUUAUCCCGAGGGGCAUGCCUGUUCGAGCGUCAUUUCACCACUCAAGCCUGGCUUGGUGUUGGGCGACGUCCUCUUUGGGGACGCGCCUCGAAACGCUCGGCGGCGUGGCACCGGCUUUAAGCGUAGCAGAAUCUUUCGCUUUGGAAGUCGGGGCCCCGUCUGCCGGAAGACCUGCUCGCAAGGUUGACCUCGGAUCAGGCAGGGAUACCCGCUGAACUUAAGCAUAUCAAUAAGCGGAGGA